RNAcentral lists this ribosomal RNA (389 nucleotides) under Wolbachia endosymbiont of Drosophila baimaii. RNAcentral describes it as "partial 16S ribosomal RNA". It matches the Rfam family "Bacterial small subunit ribosomal RNA", at positions 1144 to 1533 of the family's 1533-position model. Lineage: Bacteria; Pseudomonadati; Pseudomonadota; Alphaproteobacteria; Rickettsiales; Anaplasmataceae. The record is from RNAcentral. RNAcentral also lists the same sequence under 1 other name.
AGAGACUGCCGGUGACAAGCCGGAGGAAGGUGGGGAUGACGUCAAGUCCUCAUGGCCCUUAUGUCCUGGGCUACACACGUGCUACAAUGGCGGUGACAGUGGGAAGCUAGGUGGUGACACCAUGCUGAUCUCUAAAAGCCGUCUCAGUUCGGAUUGCACUCUGCAACUCGAGUGCAUGAAGGUGGAAUCGCUAGUAAUCGCGGAUCAGCAUGCCGCGGUGAAUACGUUCCCGGGCCUUGUACACACCGCCCGUCACACCAUGGGAGUUGGUUUGACCUUAAGCCGGUGAGCGAACCGCAAGGACGCAGCCGACCACGGUCGGGUCAGCGACUGGGGUGAAGUCGUAACAAGGUAGCCGUAGGGGAACCUGCGGCUGGAUCACCUCCUUU